Molecule: ribosomal RNA, 118 nt
Filed under: Pteropus alecto (black flying fox)
Lineage: Eukaryota; Metazoa; Chordata; Mammalia; Chiroptera; Pteropodidae
Source: RNAcentral
GUCUACAGCCAUGCCGCCUUGAACAAGCCUGAUCUCGUCUGAUCUCGGAAGCUAAGCAGGGUCGGACCUGGUUAGGACUUGGAUGGGAGACCACCUAGGAACACCAGUGCUGUAGGUG